GAUGAACGCUGGCGGCGUGCCUAAUACAUGCAAGUCGAGCGAACGGACGAGAAGCUUGCUUUUCUGAUGUUAGCGGCGGACGGGUGAGUAACACGUGGAUCACCUACCUAUAAGACUUGGAUAACUUCGGGAAACCGGAGCUAAUACCGGAUAAUAUUUUGAACCGCAUGGUUCAAAAGUGAAAGACGGUCUUGCUGUCCCUUAUAGAUGGAUCCGCGCUGCAUUAGCUAGUUGGUAAGGUAACGGCUUACCAAGGCAACGAUGCAUAGCCGACCUGAGAGGGUGAUCGGCAACACUGGAACUGAGACACGGUCCAGACUCCUACGGGAGGCAGCAGUAGGGAAUCUUCCGCAAUGGGCGAAAGCCUGACGGAGCAACGCCGCGUGAGUGAUGAAGGUCUUCGGAUCGUAAAACUCUGUUAUUAGGGAAGAACAGAUGUGUAAGUAACUGUGCACAUCUUGACGGUACCUAAUCAGAAAGCCACGGCUAACUACGUG
RNAcentral lists this ribosomal RNA (497 nucleotides) under uncultured bacterium. RNAcentral describes it as "partial 16S ribosomal RNA". It matches the Rfam family "Bacterial small subunit ribosomal RNA", at positions 28 to 507 of the family's 1533-position model. The record is from RNAcentral.